Molecule: ribosomal RNA, 664 nt
Filed under: Pseudomonas azotoformans
Lineage: Bacteria; Pseudomonadati; Pseudomonadota; Gammaproteobacteria; Pseudomonadales; Pseudomonadaceae
Description: bacterial SSU rRNA
Source: RNAcentral
GUAAUGCCUAGGAAUCUGCCUGGUAGUGGGGGAUAACGUUCGGAAACGGACGCUAAUACCGCAUACGUCCUACGGGAGAAAGCAGGGGACCUUCGGGCCUUGCGCUAUCAGAUGAGCCUAGGUCGGAUUAGCUAGUUGGUGRGGUAAUGGCUCACCAAGGCGACGAUCCGUAACUGGUCUGAGAGGAUGAUCAGUCACACUGGAACUGAGACACGGUCCAGACUCCUACGGGAGGCAGCAGUGGGGAAUAUUGGACAAUGGGCGAAAGCCUGAUCCAGCCAUGCCGCGUGUGUGAAGAAGGUCUUCGGAUUGUAAAGCACUUUAAGUUGGGAGGAAGGKUUGUAGAUUAAUACUCUGCAAUUUUGACGUUACCGACAGAAUAAGCACCGGCUAACUCUGUGCCAGCAGCCGCGGUAAUACAGAGGGUGCAAGCGUUAAUCGGAAUUACUGGGCGUAAAGCGCGCGUAGGUGGUUUGUUAAGUUGGAUGUGAAAUCCCCGGGCUCAACCUGGGAACUGCAUUCAAAACUGACUGACUAGAGUAUGGUAGAGGGUGGUGGAAUUUCCUGUGUAGCGGUGAAAUGCGUAGAUAUAGGAAGGAACACCAGUGGCGAAGGCGACCACCUGGACUAAUACUGACACUGAGGUGCGAAAGCGUGGGGAGCA